ACUCUUUGAGUAUUGGGUAGGGGAGCGUUCUGUAAGCGGUUGAAGGUGUGUGGUAACGCAUGCUGGACGUAUCAGAAGUGCGAAUGCUGACAUGAGUAACGAUAAAGGGGGUGAAAAACCUCCUCGCCGGAAGACCAAGGGUUCCUGUCCAACGUUAAUCGGGGCAGGGUAAGUCGACCCCUAAGGCGAGGCCGAAAGGCGUAGUCGAUGGGAAACGGGUUAAUAUUCCCGUACUUCUUACAAUUGCGAUGGGGGGACGGAGAAGGCUAGGUGGGCCUGGCGACGGUUGUCCAGGUUCAAGUGCGUAGGCUU
This 312-nucleotide ribosomal RNA is filed under the name Vibrio parahaemolyticus. Its description in RNAcentral is "partial 23S ribosomal RNA". It matches the Rfam family "Bacterial large subunit ribosomal RNA", at positions 1210 to 1527 of the family's 2925-position model. Lineage: Bacteria; Pseudomonadati; Pseudomonadota; Gammaproteobacteria; Vibrionales; Vibrionaceae. The record is from RNAcentral.